Molecule: long non-coding RNA, 1834 nt
Filed under: Bos indicus x Bos taurus (hybrid cattle)
Lineage: Eukaryota; Metazoa; Chordata; Mammalia; Artiodactyla; Bovidae
Description: lncRNA (ENSBIXG00005030998.1)
Source: RNAcentral
GCACUGAGCUCUGGGUGACCGUGGGCUUCCCUGAAACACAUGGUUUUAUAGAUGCAUAUAUUUACAUGUAUGUGUCCGUGUAUAUUUUUUCCUUCUUCCUUUUCACACCUCUGACUUGGAUGGUGGUGUGAAGAAAGGCUGUGUGAAUCAGAAUGUAUGAACAAUGCAUGUGAGAGAUGCCUGGUUCCUGGAGAAAGAAAGAGUUCCGGAGAGGGUCGGGGCAGCUGGAGCAGACACACAGAAAAUCAUGGAAUUCCACAGUCCAGACCCGGAGGAAGUAGAAACACAGAUUAUAGCCACGGUGGAGCCUGGAGGCUAUUUAUUCCACCCUACUCUCUCAGCAGGGAAAAACAAUUUACAGAUCCUCUUGGAACACAAAUAAUGGAUGGAAUAAUAAAGGAAACCACACUUUUGAGCUAACCUUGGGUCUUAGUUUUUACCUGGAUGUAGAAACACAUUGAAGACAGUAUGCUCCCAUAAGGAGUCAGAUUGAAAAAUGGAAAAUCUGGAAAGCUUCUAAUGCAAAAAUAACGCCUCGAUUGUUGCAUCAGCAAAGGAGAGUCACUAGAUUGCUCCCGCCCAGCAUGAUCCUCCCUCCUCCACUUCUGAUUUCCCCUGUGACCCACGACAUCCACCGACUGGGAGGAGAGCAGGCAGACCAGCGCUGCUCAGCCUCCCUUAUCUCAGCAGAAUGUUCCUGGGAGACAUCAUCUCCCCAGCUCUGUCUGCAUCAUUGGCUUUGUCUGAAACCGGUGUGUUUUGUUUGAAUAUUAUUUUUUAAAUAGUUGGCUCUAGAAGAGAUAUUGGUCUUUUUAGAAAACUGCUUCUGGCAUGAACCAGAUAUUCUGUGACUUUAAGCUCUUCGAGAAAGCUGUGUGUAUCGGAAAGCCAGCAGUAAAAGCGAUGGUUGCUAAGGGAACAAUUGAAUUGCUGACACAGAGACACAUGGUGGGACUGAAAACUCUUUUUUUCUUCUCCUGCCACACGGAAAAGAAAGCACAUGAGUCAGAGGGAAUGGUGGACGGUCCUUUCUGCUUGUUAAGAAAGCUAAAAGGCUGAAAUUGCCUAUUAGCUUAAAGGGAGCGAGUCUAGUGGCGGUUCAGGCUGAGAAAAGCUGAGAGCAGCUGGAAAGUUGGGGAUAAGUCGGUGAAGGCAGAGCUGAAACUGUGACUCAGAGCGAGCUGAAAAGAAAAAAGCCACCAACUAAUGAGACUCACGUUAGGCUGUAGCCGAUGACAGUGUGCAACGGAAGGAGCUUAAUCAUAUGUAGAUAGACUUCUUUGAACACCAGCUCCUAAAUACUUUGAAAUGUUUUUUGAUUGAUUCAUUCACUCCUGUACCCUUCAAUUGCCAUUUCUGAGAGUCUGUUGUUUGUUUAAACACCUUUUUUUUGAGGUAUAAAUUAUAUAUCUUAAAAUUCCACCAUUGUGACUUUGUAGCUGAAUGAUUUUUUAGUAACUUUACAGAGUUCUGUAGUCAUUCCUCCCAUCCAGUUUUAGAAUAUUUCCAUCUUGACAUAAAGUUCCCUUUUGUCUCUUCAAAGUCAAUCCUGCCCCAGCCCCAGGCAACUACUGAUCUGUUUUAUAUCUCUAUAGAUUUGUCUUUUCUAGAAAUUUUAUCUAAAUGGAAUUAUGUGAUCUGUGGUCUUUUGUGUCUGGCUUAUUUCAUGUGAUGUUUUUGAGAUUCAUCCAUGUUGUGCCAUGUAUAAGCAGCUCAUUCUUUUUUUAAAAUACUGAACAAUGUUCCACUGUAUAAGUAUAUUACAUUUUGUUUAUCUGUUCAUCAGUAGGUGGACAUUUGGGUUGUUUCUAAUUUAGGGCAAUUAUGAAUAAAC